Molecule: unclassified non-coding RNA, 429 nt
Filed under: soil metagenome
Description: partial contains 5.8S ribosomal RNA, internal transcribed spacer 2, and large subunit ribosomal RNA
Rfam family: 5.8S ribosomal RNA (bases 1-120)
Source: RNAcentral
GAUGAAGAACGCAGCGAAAUGCGAUACGUAAUGUGAAUUGCAGAAUUCAGUGAAUCAUCGAAUCUUUGAACGCAUAUUGCGCUCUCUGGUAUUCCGGAGAGCAUGCUUGUUUGAGUAUCAGUAAACACCUCAACUCCCUUUUCUUUUUUGAAAUGGGAGCUGGACUUGAGUGAUCCCAACGCUUUUCUCACCGGAAAGUGGCGGGUUACUUGAAAUGCAGGUGCAGCUGGACUUUUCUCUGAGCUAUAAGCAUAUCUAUUUAGUCUGCCUAAAAACAGAUUAUUACCUUUGCUGCAGCUAACAUAAAGGAGAUUAGUUCUUGUGCUGACUGAUGCAGGAUUCACAGAGACAGCUUCGGCUGACUUUGUAAACUCGAUCUCAAAUCAAGUAAGACUACCCGCUGAACUUAAGCAUAUCAAUAAGCGGAGG